RNAcentral lists this ribosomal RNA (314 nucleotides) under uncultured bacterium. Its description in RNAcentral is "bacterial SSU rRNA". It matches the Rfam family "Bacterial small subunit ribosomal RNA", at positions 29 to 372 of the family's 1533-position model. The record is from RNAcentral.
AACGAACGCUGGCGGCAGGCCUAACACAUGCAAGUCGAACGAACCUUCGGGUUAGUGGCGCACGGGUGCGUAACACGUGGGAAUAUACAUUUCGGUAAGGAAUAACACAGAGAAAUUUGUGCUAAUACCUUAUAAUGACUCCGGUCCAAAGAUUUAUCGCCGAAGGAUUAGCCCGCGCUAGAUUAGUUUGUUGGUGAGGUAAGAGCUCACCAAGACUACGAUCUAUAGCUGGUCUUAGAGGAUGAUCAGCCACACUGGAACUGAGACACGGUCCAGACUCCUACGGGAGGCAGCAGUGAGGAAUAUUGGACAAU